GGACCCUAGAGCGGCGAACGGGUGAGUAACGCGUACGAAACCUACCUUUAAGAGAGGGAUAGCCCUGGGAAACUGGGAGUAAUACCUCAUAGUAUUCAAUAACCGCAUGGUUUAUGGAUUAAGGCUGAGGCGCUUAAAGAUGGUCGUGCGUCUGAUUAGCUAGUUGGUAGGGUAACGGCCUACCAAGGCUACGAUCAGUAGGGGGCGUGAGAGCGUGGCCCCCCACACGGGUACUGAGACACGGACCCGACUCCUACGGGAGGCAGCAGUAAGGAAUAUUGGGCAAUGGACGGAAGUCUGACCCAGCCAUCCCGCGUGCAGGACGAAUGCCCUAUGGGUUGUAAACUGCUUUUGUUUGGGAAGAAAUGUAUUCUUUUAAGAGUAUUUGACGGUACCAGACGAAUAAGCACCGGCUAACUCCGUGCCAGCAGCCGCGGUAAUACGGAGGGUGCAAGCGUUAUCCGGAAUCACUGGGUUUAAAGGGUGCGUAGGCGGCCAGAUAAGUCAGAGGUGAAAGUUUCCGGCUCAACCGGGAGAUUGCCUUUGAUACUGUUUGGCUUGAAUCAGAUUGAGGUUGGCGGAAUGUGACAUGUAGCGGUGAAAUGCAUAGAUAUGUCAUAGAACAUCGAUUGCGAAGGCAGCUGGCUGGAUCUGUAUUGACGCUGAGGCACGAAAGCGUGGGGAGCAAACAGGAUUAGAU
Molecule: ribosomal RNA, 700 nt
Filed under: uncultured Bacteroidota bacterium
Lineage: Bacteria; Pseudomonadati; Bacteroidota
Description: bacterial SSU rRNA
Rfam family: Bacterial small subunit ribosomal RNA
Source: RNAcentral